GACGAACGCUGGCGGCGUGCCUAACACAUGCAAGUCGAACGGAGUUAAGACUUCGGUUUUAACUUAGUGGCGAACGGGUGAGUAACGCGUGAGAAACCUGCCUUUCAGUGGGGGACAACAGUUGGAAACGACUGCUAAUACCGCAUAACGUUAUUUGGGGGCGAUCCCCGGACUAACCAAAGAUUUAUUGCUGAAAGAUGGUCUCGCGUCUGAUUAGCUAGUUGGUGAGGUAACGGCUCACCAAGGCGACGAUCAGUAGCCGGUCUGAGAGGUUGAACGGCCACAUUGGGACUGAGAUACGGCCCAG
Molecule: ribosomal RNA, 307 nt
Filed under: uncultured bacterium
Lineage: Bacteria
Description: bacterial SSU rRNA
Rfam family: Bacterial small subunit ribosomal RNA
Source: RNAcentral